UACAGAGGUGGCAAGCGUUGUUCGGAAUUACUGGGCGUAAAGGGCGCGUAGGCGGCCUUCUAAGUCAGACGUGAAAUCCCCCGGCUUAACCUGGGAACUGCGUCUGAUACUGGAGGGCUUGAGUGCGGGAGAGGGAUGUGGAAUUCCAGGUGUAGCGGUGGAAUGCGUAGAUAUCUGGAGGAGCACCGGUGGCGAAGGCGGCAUCCUGGACCGGUAUUGACGCUGAGGCGCGAAAGCCAGGGGAGCAAACGGG
RNAcentral lists this ribosomal RNA (253 nucleotides) under uncultured bacterium. Its description in RNAcentral is "partial 16S ribosomal RNA". It matches the Rfam family "Bacterial small subunit ribosomal RNA", at positions 524 to 776 of the family's 1533-position model. The record is from RNAcentral.